UUGCCUCAGUAACGGCGAGUGAAGCGGCAACAGCUCAAAUUUGAAAUCUGGUCUCCUUUGGUGGCCCGAGUUGUAAUUUGUAGAGGAUGCUUCGGGUGCGGUACCGUUCUAAGUUCCUUGGAACAGGGCGUCAUAGAGGGUGAGAAUCCCGUAUGUGACCGGUCGCCAAUCCUAUGUGAAGCUCCUUCGACGAGUCGAGUUGUUUGGGAAUGCAGCUCAAAAUGGGUGGUAAAUUUCAUCUAAAGCUAAAUACCGGCCAGAGACCGAUAGCGCACAAGUAGAGUGAUCGAAAGAUGAAAAGCACUUUGGAAAGAGAGUUAAAAAGUACGUGAAAUUGUUGAAAGGGAAGCGCUUGCAACCAGACUCGUCUGGAGUUGAUCAACCGUCCUUCUGGGCGGUGCACUCUGCUCCAAUCGGGCCAGCAUCGAUUCGGGCGGUUGGAUAAAGGUUUCGGGAACGUAGCUCUCUUCGGGGAGUGUUAUAGCCCGGGGCGUCAUGCAGCCAGCCCGGAUCGAGGACCGCGCUUUUGCUAGGAUGCUGGCGUAAUGGUUGCCAGCGACCCGUCUUGAAACACGGACCAAGGAGUCGACCAACUACGCGAGUGUUAGGGUGUUAAACCCGUGCGCGUAAUGAAAGUGAACGGAGGUGAGAACCCGCAAG
RNAcentral lists this ribosomal RNA (660 nucleotides) under Stictis urceolata. RNAcentral describes it as "partial large subunit ribosomal RNA". It matches the Rfam family "Eukaryotic large subunit ribosomal RNA", at positions 75 to 749 of the family's 3401-position model. Lineage: Eukaryota; Fungi; Ascomycota; Lecanoromycetes; Ostropales; Stictidaceae. The record is from RNAcentral.